RNAcentral lists this long non-coding RNA (3805 nucleotides) under Helianthus annuus (common sunflower). RNAcentral's name for it is "hypothetical non coding rna". Lineage: Eukaryota; Viridiplantae; Streptophyta; Magnoliopsida; Asterales; Asteraceae. The record is from RNAcentral.
ACAGCUCCUCUCCAAUCCUCUUCACGUCUGCCAUCGCUGCACCUCCUCCGGCGCCGCCCCCACCUCUCGACGACCGCCACCUCUCGGCGACCUCCAUCUCUCGACGACCUCCAUCAGCCUGCUCCACCUCUCGAGUCUCGAGACACAGAUAUGGAUUUAAGGUACAAAACUUUUCUUGAUGGAUGGGAAAUAAAUCCAAACGUGAAAUGUGUUCUGGUUGAGGGAAGUUCAUCAUGUUCAUUUCUGUAAUCUGCUUAAGACAUGAAUGGAUUAUUUCAGCAACUUGCAGAAGUUAAAAUAAACAGUCUUCUUCAUGCAAACUGCAGAGGUUUGGUCCACCUCUUCAGCUGCAGAUGUCUGCAGAUGUGGUCCGCAGACUGUAGACGUUUUACCUCUGAAAAAACAAACAGCACCUAAAAUUGUAACUAAAUUAUUUAACUUUAAAUGUCAGCAAAACCCGACUUGCACAGAUCAAAACAUGGUAUUAUAAUAAAAAAUAGGCCAAUGCAAGUUAAUUUCAAUUCAAAAUGCAUGAACUCUGCCAUCAAAAUUUCCAGUUAACCCAAUGUCAUCACAGACGACAUGAAAAAGAAUUUUACUAUUAAAGAAAACAAGAUUAUCAUAUCAGAAGACACAUUACACAACAUGCGUUGACUCCAGGUUGACCAGAUAGAAUACGACACCAAAACUGAACUCUUCUACCUAACCUCUUCUAGUAACACCUUUGUCAGGACUUGGUCUAUGUCCCGUAUAUAUGUCUGUGAACCGGCUGGGCAUCAAACGUCUUAACCACUUGCAACCACGGUUUGUCUACAACCAACACCGAACCUUUUGAAAGAUGGCCAACGUAUAAGACAGGUUCUCUAAACGCACAAAAUUCAAAAUUGUUCCUACCGCCAUUUUUGUUGUCGCAAUCGUGCCCCAUCAACUUACGUUUCAUUUUCCCGCUCAUUGGACUGUAUAGCUUCUUUAAUGUCGAAUCAUAACCUUUCACUUUCUCAUAAUCUUCAUCUCGACCAAUAGGCAUUCCAAAGUCAAUGAAGCACAUCGCCCUGAAAAGUAUAAACUAGAUUAGAAAACAUGAUUGGGUAGUUUUAUUUUACAUUUUUACCCUCUAUUCACUCAUAAAAACAUACCUGGCACUGUAAAUGAUAACCGCUGUUGAAUUUGAAGAUGGCGGAAACGAAAGCCCAAUAACCUCUCCCGGAAACUCCUGAUAUCUCCGUGGCAAAACAAAUGUGUUGUGUCCAGACCAAUCACCUAACUUCUUAGCUUCCACAUCAAAAAGGUACACUUGAUUUGAUGACGUGGAUAAUAUUAGCAAAUUGCUAUUUUUGGGAGUAAACCCUCCGGCUGUAACAGAUGCACCAUCUAAUCUUGAUAUAAACCAGUGCUGCUUUUGUGUCGCUAGAUUAAAUAUAUAGACAUCGCCAAAACAGUUGACGGCAGCCAGCCACUGUCCAUCGGGACUAGUAAACAUUUUUGUUAUUGGAGGCUGAGUGGGUGGCAAGUGCUCGUCACACUCCUUACGACAGGGGGUAAACCUAUGACUUACUUUCAGGCUCCCAAGAUCUACAACCUGAAAUAUUAUUAUAAGAUUAUAUUACAAUCUGUAAUACAUGUCAAGAAAAAGUUUUUAGAGUCGUAGAUCUCAGUGGGUGCAGCCUCUCUAUCUUCGAGAUAGAGGAAAGGUUCGCCCCCAUACCACCCUCCCCAAACACUACCAAUAGCUUCGCUAUGAGUGGAUUUUACUGGGUACGUUUGUUUGUUCAACACAUAGACUGUGGUGUAUAAAGCCAAAAAUGAAGCUAGAGCUUCACGUACACGUGACGUUUCUCCAUGUACAACUAAACAAGCUUUAUAUGCAACUAAAAGCUGCAUUUGUCUCAUCUCUUUUACAUAUUAGCGUUUUUAUCAUAUCCCACUCGUACAAACUCCAAUCUUGACAGACUUUGACCUAGAUGUUCAUCACUUCUUUAUCACCUAGUGUGCCUCGCAUUUUUAAACCAAGAUAUAGACACACAUACAUAUAAAUAUACAUAUACACACCUAGUAGAAGGUUCAGUGGAGAACCGACUCACACAAACUCCGAAUAGACUCAUUCCAGCAGCAUGGGAACUAGCUCGUCAAACCCUAUAAUAUAUAUGUGUACAUAUUUAGGGUUUAGCUUUUACGAUUUAGGUUCUUUUAGAAUUUAGGUUUAAGUGUGUUAUAUUAGGGUUUUGAUUUAGGGUUUAGCUGUUACGGUUUAUAGUUCAGAUAUUACAGUUUAGCUUAUGGUUUAGCUUUAGGGUUUAGGUUAAGGGUUUAGAGUUGGGUUUGACGAGCCGGUUGCAAUGCAGCUGGAAUGAACCUAAUCGGAGUUCUUUUGAGUCCUUUCCCCACUUUUUCAGUGUUCCCCAUUGAACCCAAGUCAUAGUUGUCAAUAACGAGCGUAGCGAUCGCUAUCGUUCGCUACGUAGCAUCUAGGUCUAGGCUCGCUAUUAGGGUUGUAGCAAUUAAACAUGCAAAAUGGCAGCGAUAGAUAGCGAUAAUAGCGACAGUUAUUAUUAUUUUUUUAAAUAUAAAUAGCAAUUAAAUAUAGCUAUAAAAAAGAUGGAUUUUGGGUUUUUGUUAAAUAUACAUCAUACAUGUAAAAUAGCAUAUUUUGAUAUAAUAUACAUAUAAAUUUUCUAAAAAAAUUUCUAGUGUGUCGCUAUUUAUAAAAUAGCGGCCGUCCGCUGUUUAUCGCUAUUCGCUAUGUAGCAUAAAGGCACCUUAUCACUAUUCGCCAUCAACAACUAUGAACCCAAGCCUACACACAUAUACAUAAAAAUACCUACACACAUAUACAUAGAGAGAGAGAGAGAGAGAGAAAGCGAUUGCUUACAUAUAUCAUUCCAUCAUGUCCCGAAAUCAUCAGACGUGAAGAAUCAAAAGUAAAGACCAUGGAAUGAGCAAACGGUAAAGACGAAGGAAGUUUUCUUUUACUCAUAGACCACCUACUUUUUCCGGCUCCGUUUUUCUUCAAUUCAAAAAGACAAGGUUUCAAAUCAUCAGAAUAAGCAAAAAGACUUCCGGAAGGUGAAAUAGAGCUGCAAACGAUCUUUCUCAAACCCUUGCUCUUAACUCGAGCCACCAAAUCAGUAGUUGAGACACCGCCAGAUGGACCAGAAACAUCUCUUUUCACGUUAACCGUAAAUAUAUCUAUCCAGCGUGAAGCCUGAACCAAAAGUAGAUAAGUAAACCCAUCAACUGUACUGCACACUAAUUGCAUAGGUGGUCUUUGUGGUGCAGGGCAUAUAUCAUGUGGAGCGAACUUGGUAAACUCGUUAGCAGAAUAUGCAAAUAGCUUAGUGUCAUCACCAGCUGAUAUAAGCAUCGGAACUCCCGUAUGGGCCCACUUGUUGUAACUGAAAUCAACAGCUUUAUCCCUAAUACGAGCUCUUUUCGACUUCUCUUCAGGAUAAGAGAAAACGGAAGCUCUCUCUGACCCACUUUCAGAACAAAUUUUGGGGAUAUGUGGUUUGCCUUGAUGAUGAUGAUGAAGAUGAUUGUUCUACAGUUGUUUCCAGCAUCAUUGUUCCAACAUCGUUGAAAGCUCCGAUUAUUUAAAGCAGCUCUUUAUCAAGCAAGUUGAGGAUUAAGUGUAACGCCCUACGUUCCGCUACUUAGUCAAUACUAGCGAGUCUCGUUAUACUUCCCACCUUGUGAUGCUUAAUGAAACUAUUUGAGUCUUAACCAUGUUAAACUAUGUGAAACUUUUACUCUAUGUGUUGAUUUCGUGAUGCUUUAAUACAUGAACGAUAUGAAUCUUGACUCUUGU